UUUCCGUAGGUGAACCUGCGGAAGGAUCAUUAUUGGAUUUUGAAACUUCAGGCUGCUGCUGGCUCUCCUCGGGGGGCAUGUGCACGCUUGUUGUCCAUUAUUUCUCCCACUGUGCACAAAUUGUAGACCUUUCAGUAGGCCUAUGUUGUUUUUCACAAUCUCUGAAUGUAAUAGAAUGGUUUUGAAUCUUGGGAAAUACAAUACAACUUUCAGCAACGGAUCUCUUGGCUCUC
RNAcentral lists this unclassified non-coding RNA (233 nucleotides) under plant metagenome. Its description in RNAcentral is "partial contains small subunit ribosomal RNA, internal transcribed spacer 1, and 5.8S ribosomal RNA". The record is from RNAcentral.